CGACGCAACGCGAAGAACUUACCUGGGCUUGACAUCUGCGGAAUUUCUAUGAAAGUGAAGUGCCCUUCGGGAGCGCAAGACAGGUGCUGCAUGGCUGUCGUCAGCUCGUGUCGUGAGAUGUUGGGUUAAGUCCCGCAACGAGCGCAACCCUUAUCUUUAGUUACCAUCAUUCAGUUGGGGACUCUAAAGAUACUGCCCCGGUCAACGGGGAGGAAGGUGGGGAUGACGUCAAGUCCUCAUGGCCCUUAUGUCCAGGGCUACACACGUGCUACAAUGGGCAGUACAAAGGGUAGCAAGCCUGCGAAGGUGAGCCAAUCUCAAAAAGCUGUUCGUAGUUCGGAUUGGAGUCUGCAACUCGACUCCAUGAAGCUGGAAUCGCUAGUAAUCGCGGAUCAGCAUGCUGCGGUGAAUACGUUCCCGGGUCUU
This 426-nucleotide ribosomal RNA is filed under the name uncultured Desulfobacterium sp. Its description in RNAcentral is "bacterial SSU rRNA". It matches the Rfam family "Bacterial small subunit ribosomal RNA", at positions 952 to 1382 of the family's 1533-position model. Lineage: Bacteria; Pseudomonadati; Thermodesulfobacteriota; Desulfobacteria; Desulfobacterales; Desulfobacteriaceae. The record is from RNAcentral.